This 132-nucleotide ribosomal RNA is filed under the name uncultured bacterium. RNAcentral's name for it is "partial 16S ribosomal RNA". It matches the Rfam family "Bacterial small subunit ribosomal RNA", at positions 356 to 504 of the family's 1533-position model. The record is from RNAcentral.
GGGGAAUAUUGGGCAAUGGAGGCAACUCUGACCCAGCAACGCCGCGUGAGCGAUGAAGGUCUUCGGAUUGUAAAGCUCUGUCGCAGGGGACGAAGUAUGACGGUACCCUGUAAGAAAGCCCCGGCAAACUAC